CAGAGGCACCUGGAAGCAGGAAGAGGAAGUGAAGAACAACCCUGCAGAGUCCUGCUGCUUUGAUUUUGGACUACAAAUCCCAGAGAACUUGGGGGCAGCAGGAAGAGGAAGUGAACACACAGCCCAUCCUGGUUACCUGCCAGAGAGCCCUGCUUUAGUACCCCCCAGCUUUUGGCCUGAAUUGCUGUGGGCAUGUGGCUGCAGUUCCUGAAUCAAAGGUUCAUCAUCAUUCCUUCCUCUCCAAAUAAAUGAAUCCCUGGAGGGCUCAUCGAGGAUGAUAUCCAUGUUUUCCUCUUUGGAAUGGCCUCGUUUGCAGUCCGAAGCAGACACUCAGUAUCGCUUCUGUAUUUCCCUCUGAAAACAUCUGAGUCACAUUUGCCUUUAAAGAAUCUGUCUGAGCAUGAGGAAACCAACUUCUUACAAGCUCAUGCUGCUGCGAUACUUUUAAUGAUGUUACUGGAGGAACUGCGGUGCAAGAAAAGAAGACAGCCACCUUAACAAGGGGCCAGUGGUAACAAGCAUAACAAAACAGUUCUGAGCCAUGCCAACCAGCACGGCCAGCUGCCCCUGGCAAGAUGCAGGCCAAUGCUGGAGUCUGGAUGCCAGGGGCAGGAGUUGAAGGGAUAAGAGUAAGGUUUGCAAUGUCAAAUUCACCCCAUUUCUGUAUGCUUGUGAACCUGAUUUUGGAGAUUGCAUUAAGAAAUAUUUACCAGAUAGUUUUAAUUGUUUGAAUCCAUAGUGCCUUUUUACUUCUUUGUUUUUGUUGUUUUUACCAUAGAGAUGACAAUCAUUUUCAUAGACCAGGACCCCAUUGUGCUAGGUGCUGUAUAACAAUAGAAGAGGAAGGUGGCCCCUUAUCCAGAGGGAUAGUCUGUACAUUAUUGUUGGUGUCACAUUUUUCCUCCUACCCAUUUGGAUGACUUAAACUUUCUUAACUAGGAGAACAACAAAAGUAACAACUAGUAAAUACAGCUUGUAAUAUGAGUUUUCAUAUGGGUAUUUAAUUUAUAUUGAAAUUAAUGGAAACUUCAUAAUUUACUAACUUCUUUGUUAAUAAACUGCUCAUUCAAGUAUUUAAAAUUAUAAUCCCAUGAAUAACAGUCAAAAUAACUCUUCAUAUUUAUUUGUAAAAUCUCUUUAUAUAUGUAAUAGAUAUACAUAUAUAGUUGAUAUGUGUGUGUGUGUGUGUGUGUAUAUACACACACACACAUAUAAGCUAUAUAUAUGUGUGUGUGUGUAUAUACACACACAAAUAUAGCUUAUAUACACUCACACAUAUAUAUAGCUUAUAUGUAUAAAGAUAUAUAUAAAGAGAUUUCACAAAUAAAUAUGAAGCUGUAUAUAUUAUAGAUUAACUCUCUUUUUGUAGUACUUGACUAACUCUAGUAAUAUUUAGAACAUCUUCACUUUUUCUCAAUGAUUAAACAUUCUUAGCACUGUAGCUCAUCUGCCUAGCUAAACCAGUUUCAGUGACUAAAGCCAAUGAACAGUUAGAAAAUCUCUGCCAGUUUUCUCUGCAACACAGACGAAGGAGACUGUUCAAAGCUAACUAUUGACAUUGGUUAAAGUCAGCAUGGUUGACAUCCAGAAAUGCUCUGCUUGCCGGCAGUGCUUUAGCUUCAAAAUUGAUCCAUGACACAGAGCUGGAAAUGAGAACAAAUGAGAUCAAAACAUUAUGAAGAUUUAAAGUCUAGCUGGAAACAUCCUACAAGAGUCAAAUAUUGACUAGGACUGAACAUUCAGAUCUUGUAUAAACUUGUUUGAGUUGAAAUGUUGAAUAUAGGAGAAAAUAUCAGCUCUCAUAAAUGCUACUGUUCUUUAAGUUUUCAUGUGAAACUACAAGGUUCUUGAUAUGAGAGAUGGGUGCUUACUCUGGAUCUGACCCACCUCCCUGCUCCCAUUUGGGGUAAUUUUCAAUAGCAAUUUGCAAUUCACCACUUGAGCCAAGUUCUUCCUUAUUUAUGCUUUAAAAUGUGGCAAUUUGUAAGCCCUUGUCUGUCUUCUGUGUCUUCUUCUGCCAGCGACACACAAUAGGGACAAACACACCCAGGUGCCCAGAUUGAAAAUGGUUAGGCUGGACUUAGGGAAAUGUAGAGUGGGAAAAGGGGAAGAAUCUCUUUCAAAAGAAAUGGAACUGUUCCAAGAAGUUGUCUUUUUAAAAAAAAUGUGGUCCUUGUCAGUGCCAGAAACUCUCUUUCUUGCACCUUUAAACUGUGAGAUUCAUUUUAUAUUAGCCAUAUUGAAAUGGACUGAUCUUUUGGGUUGCACUAUGCUAUAUUAAGAUCCAUAUUUCAAACAAUAAAUGUUUUCCAUUUAUUCCACCUAGUUUCCUUUUCUACUGAUCCAAACUUUAAGGCAGUUAGCAAAACCUUUCAGUAAUAUGAAGUACUUUUUUCAUCUUGUGCCAGCACUGUAAUGCCUCCAAUAAUUUAUGUUUAAUUUUUAAUACAGUUAUCUAUCAUGAGUAAUUAUGUGGGCUGCUCACAAUAUUCCAUUUUCUGCUAUGUGGUUUUUUUUCUGAUGA
Molecule: long non-coding RNA, 2524 nt
Organism: Alligator mississippiensis (American alligator)
Lineage: Eukaryota; Metazoa; Chordata; Crocodylia; Alligatoridae
Exons: 3
Source: RefSeq, a predicted model, not a curated record